This 216-nucleotide ribosomal RNA is filed under the name uncultured bacterium. RNAcentral describes it as "partial 16S ribosomal RNA". It matches the Rfam family "Bacterial small subunit ribosomal RNA", at positions 1284 to 1500 of the family's 1533-position model. The record is from RNAcentral.
GUACUCAGUUCGGAUUGAAGGCUGAAAUUGCCUUCAUGAAGCUGGAAUUGCUAGUAAUGGCAGGUCAGCAUACUGCCGUGAAUACGUUCCCGGGCCUUGUACACACCGCCCGUCACACCAUGAGAGUUUGUAACACCCAAAGCCGGUGGGGUAACCUUUUGGAGCCAGCCGUCUAAGGUGGGACAGAUGAUUGGGGUGAAGUCGUAACAAGGUACC